Molecule: small nucleolar RNA, 149 nt
Filed under: Eremothecium gossypii ATCC 10895
Lineage: Eukaryota; Fungi; Ascomycota; Saccharomycetes; Saccharomycetales; Saccharomycetaceae
Source: RNAcentral
UUGGGACUUUAUCUCCAUAGCUAUGCCCUAUUCCUAGAUAGUUGCGGUAAACGAAUCCCAUAUAGUUAUUCACACUCUUUUGCAGAGUGGACCUGCAUUUCCCCCGGGAAAACUUAGCAGCAGGCCCAUUUUGAGAGCGUGGUAAAUUG